Molecule: long non-coding RNA, 4093 nt
Organism: Suricata suricatta (meerkat)
Lineage: Eukaryota; Metazoa; Chordata; Mammalia; Carnivora; Herpestidae
Exons: 2
Source: RefSeq, a predicted model, not a curated record
UUUGGAGAUGACGGACGUAGUCAUACAUUCAAGUCCUCGUUGGAGAGCACAAAUGUGAGGUAUCUCUGAGAAGUCAGGUCGCGUCCAGCGCCAGCUUACAUCCUGAAUGACGGCAAGCUACUGUUGCACAACGUUUUUCACUCACAGGUUUUCCAUGAAGCCUGCCUUUCACCUCCACCUGGAAGGCGCCGGCGCCAGAGCCAGAGCCGCCGCGGCCGCCGCCGGCAGUGCCGGCGUCCCCGCGUCCUCGCGCUGUGUCCCGCGCCCCGUGACACACGCACGCGCCUAGGCUGCAGGGCGGAGCCGGACGGCCACGUCGCACCCGUGAUCCUCCCUGUGCGCGGCGCAUCUGAGCGGGCCCCUCGCGGGAGGCGGGCACGGGAAGCCCGGUCGUCAGUGGGAACGAGGGGUCGCCUGCCUCGCCGUUCCCGAACUCUCGGCAGCUCCUGCUAGCCCCCUGUGGCUUCAGACAUUUUCUCACCCCGUGUCUCGUGCUUCCCCCCAGCCUGUCGGCCGCUCCGCCCAGGGCGCCCGUGCUGCCUGUUGUCCUGAGCCGCCAGCACUGGCCGGCCGCCCCGGACCCGGUCUCUUCCCUGGAUGGCUGCGCGUCGUCCGGUAACUCUGGCCUAAAGCUCUUCCUGAGCCCCAGCUCUGCCUGCAGACGCCUCCAUGAGCACCGAGCACCGAGUGUGGGGCAGGUGCACCUCCUCUCCCUGCACUCCCUGCCCGGCCAGAAAGAAACUGUGCUUCUCGGAAACGGAAACUCCUUAGGCUUGCCCUGGCCACGGACUGAGUAGUCUUCGGUGGAAUGUUCCCUACUCUCAACCACAGGUGACCCUAUCUUCAAAGUACACCUUAAACCAGACCUCUUGUCACCAGCGCCACUGCCGGCCUGGCCUGUCUCCCACCUGGGCUUGUGCUGGAGCCUCCUUAGGCGUCUCCCUACGACGCCCCUUCGAAUGUAAGCCCACGGCAUCAUCUGGUCUGCAUCCUCCAGUACUGCUCCCCCUUCCUUGGACUAAAAGUCUCCAUAUCCUUACAACAGCUUACAAAACCUGUGGUGAUCCCUGCCUCUGCUGCCCUUAGAUCUCAUCUCCGGCCAGGGGCCACUUGCUCACCUGCAUCAAUCACCCACCACAGAUGUCCUGCGCUCUUCCUAGGACACUCCUCCCCUGGACUUGGUUGAGCUCACCCCUCACUCGCUCCCGGCUUCCCCCAGAGAAGCUCCUUGCGCAUCCCGUGCCUGACAGCACCCAGCCCUGGCUUUGCGCCCUGCACCCUGCGCCUGCUCUGUGUCCGCAGCAUCACCCCCUCACAAACAGCUGCCUCCUGUCUCUCCCCAUCAGAAAGCCGGCUUCCUGAAGUCAGUAACUUCCUGUUUGCAGCCUGCCUCUGAGCACACAGAAGCAUGGUGGAGGCACAAACACUGAACUGAGCACUUAGUAAAAACUUGUGGGACAAAGGAGCAAGAGUAGCUGAGAGAAUGGCUGCUGGGACCUGAGGAAGAAGCCCAAGCCGGCUGGAUGGACAGACAGAGAUCCACCAAAGAUGGAGAGAAGAGCCACUGCCUGCUCCUGACCUGCCAGUUCCGAUCUGCAUGGGGCCUUAAUAUCGGUAAGCCCUUAUUUUCAGGAAGAUAAACAAGAAGGCUUCCUCAGCGCACUGGCCUGACAGAAGGCACUGAGGGAGGAACGGUUAGCAGCGGCGAAGCCAGUUCCUUUGGCUUCAGCAUCAAGCUUUCCAGCCACACCCGGAAUCGGCACAGUGGACGGGACCCCUGCCAGCUGGUCACUCAGUGUUCUUCUUUCCUUUCCAGUUCUUCUCUCUCUCUUCCAGUUCUGCCUGGGUGAAAGCUGCAGGGCCCCAGUUAGUGAUCAGGUGAGGGUUUUUUGAACCUAAGGAACAAACACAAGUUAAAUAUUCUUCAUAUUCUUUAAUUAACAUCACCAUUUUUCCAGACGAGAGAGUAACUUUCUACUUCAUUUCUUUUCUGAGGAAUACCCAUAAAUGUCACACCAGCCAAAACAACUAGAAGAUGUGUGCAAGGGAAUUAACUGAGCCUUCUUGUCUAGUACAGAGCAAGUUAUUCAAGAGAAAUGGACCCUCAACAGUGUGGUUUCUAUAUAUUUGGGCUAAAGAAGAUUUUUAGCACAAUUUAAACACACAAAUAAAACAGAAGGAUAAAUUGGAUAAAUAACUGUUUACUUCAAAGAGCGUGUUACCUGGCUCUAUCAACCGGAUUAAUCCUUCAUGCUGGGCCACUUUGUCCUUCCAGCUCUUGGUCUUACUAGUUGCCAUCUCCAGCUUCUUCUUAACUCCCUGCAACGGAAGUACAUGUUGGACUAUGCAAACACACGGGCAGUUUAAGACCAAAUAAAAAUGCCUGGGCAGUUCUGUUGAUUACCCCAUUAAAUCCAGCCACUCAAAGAAGCAGGAACUAUUAAUCACCCCCAUUUUACAGACGUGGAAACCAGGAGGCAGAGAGCUUGAAUAACCUGCCCAAAGUCACCCAGGGGACCUAAUGACACAGCUACACAUGAAUGUGUAAGAUCCUUGUAUAUGCAUUAAGGCUCACCAACCACAGCCCCCAACCCAGCCCUCCCUGUCCUGCAUGUGACACCAGGUGACUCUCCUCACCAGCUGGCACGACUCUGUCAGUAAAGGGCACUGAAGGGUCACAAAAGAAGGGGCUCUGCUCCGAGUCCCACUGUGCUCUCCUCAGCAGUUCCUGUGGCGGGCAGGGGACACACGGUGCUCACGCCUGUAGGUUUUAGUGUCAUCGCCUUGUGGGCUACUUCCCCCAGGGCCCAGUCACAGCUUGUCUCCUGUCCGUGGGGCCAAGGCCAUGCCCUCUCCAAGAUCAGAUCACAGCACUGGGCAGAAGGGGCGACGAGCACAUGUGUCCCCUUCCUGGGUGCUCUGUGUCAGUCUCAGAGGCAGGGGCUGUUUCUGUAUUCUUAGAGUCGUCUUUACUGCUGGGUAGAUAAUCCCAUUAGAGGUGUUUAUAUUAAACUUUCCCUGUUCAAAUCACUGUGUGCCUCUUGACUAGACUUUACCUGAUACACCUCACCACGUGGAAAAACUACUUCUUACAGCUAAGUAAAUACUGUUAUUUCUAAAUGGUUUUUUUUAAGUUUUUAAUUCCAUUUAACAAGUAGUGUUAUAUUAAUUUCAGGUGCUUAAAUGUUUGUGUUUAAAACUCUAAGUGCCUGUGUGCAGGGGUCAGGCGGGUCACCUCAUACUGCUCCAGCGCCUGCUUCCGCUCCAGCUCGAGCUGCGCCAGCUGCUCCAUGGCUUCCUGAAGGGCCCGCUCUUUCAGGACACGCUGAUUCUCCAGCUCCUGCUUCUCUGCUUCAGUUGUCUGAAUGGCCUGCUGCUGCUCCAAGUGCCACUUUUCCAGUUCAGCCCUCUUGGAAGACUCUUCUUCCAGCAACCUGCAAUGCGAAGAACUUAGGACCAAACCUGCCCGGGCUCCUGUGCCUGAGCCACCGAGACCGGCAGACAAGGCCUGACGUCAUCGAAUUCACCGCCCUCAUUUUGUAAAGAAACAACUAGGGGCCACAGAGGCCCAUAUUCACAGCGCUGGCAAGGUGCCUCAUGUGUCCUGGCCUGCUCCUCUUCGUUUCACCCUUUUUUGAAAAACGUUAAAUGACAUUUAUGAACGGUUUAAUGUGCCACAACUGGGCCAAGAGCUAAGUGUAUUUUCCCAAUCAGUCCUCACAGUAAACUUAAGUGCUGUUGACAUUCACAUUUCAACAAUGAAGAAAGUGAGACACAAAGGUUAGAUGACCUGUACCAGGUCAGUUGCCUGACAGGUGGUAGGGCCAAGUUUUGAAAAUUACCUGGUUGCUUCAACAUUAAAACAUUUCUCAUCAAGUACAAACAUAUUACCAAGGAAAAAGCUAACAAACUAAUGAUAAUGAAAGUGAGGGGAAAAGGAGCCAACAAAAGACAGAAUACAACAGAUAACCACUUACUGAACAACUACGACAGGUCACACAACUUGACUUCAUUAUUGUAACCCCCCAUCAAUCCUGCGGGAUAUCAUUAUCCCUCCAGAUGAAGCAAUAAAAAUUCAGAAUGUUUAAAAGUA